Molecule: long non-coding RNA, 290 nt
Filed under: Gallus gallus (chicken)
Lineage: Eukaryota; Metazoa; Chordata; Aves; Galliformes; Phasianidae
Source: RNAcentral
UGCAGCAUGUAUAUUCCUGAGGGCAGAUUCUCAAAUGUUCCCCUGCGAUCUCCUGGUAGGGCACGCUGGCCAAGCUGAAGCCCUUGGCGCUGUACGCCUGCCGCACCUCGCCGCAGCUCCGCGCUUUGCUCUCAGUCCCCGCGGCCGCGGGCGGCGGCAGCAGCAGCAGCAGCAGCCCCGCCAGGGCCCAGUGCUCAGCCCCCCGCGCAGCCGGCAUGGCGCGGCGCGCAAGUCCCGCGCUUCCGCGUCGCGCCGCCGCCGUGUCCCCCGGCUGCGGGGGCGGCGGGCCG